AAAAGACCAAGGGUUCCUGCGCAACGUUAAUCGACGCAGGGUUAGUCGGUUCCUAAGGCGAGGCUGAAAAGCGUAGUCGAUGGGAAACAGGUUAAUAUUCCUGUACUUCUGGUUACUGCGAUGGAGGGACGGAGAAGGCUAGGCCAGCUUGGCGUUGGUUGUCCAAGUUUAAGGUGGUAGGCUGAAAUCUUAGGUAAAUCCGGGGUUUCAAGGCCGAGAGCUGAUGACGAGUCGUCUUUUAGAUGACGAAGUGGUUGAUGCCAUGCUUCCAAGAAAAGCUUCUAAGCUUCAGGUAACCAGGAACCGUACCCCAAACCGACACAGGUGGUCGGGUAGAGAAUACCAAGGCGCUUGAGAGAACUCGGGUGAAGGAACUAGGCAAAAUGGCACCGUAACUUCGGGAGAAGGUGCGCCGGCUAGGGUGAAGGAUUUACUCCGUAAGCUCUGGCUGGUCGAAGAUACCAGGCCGCUGCGACUGUUUAUUAAAAACACAGCACUCUGCAAACACGAAAGUGGACGUAUAGGGUGUGACGCCUGCCCGGUGCCGGAAGGUUAAUUGAUGGGGUUAGCGCAAGCGAAGCUCUUGAUCGAAGCCCCGGUAAACGGCGGCCGUAACUAUAACGGUCCUAAGGUAGCGAAAUUCCUUGUCGGGUAAGUUCCGACCUGCACGAAUGGCGUAACGAUGGCGGCGCUGUCUCCACCCGAGACUCAGUGAAAUUGAAAUCGCUGUGAAGAUGCAGUGUAUCCGCGGCUAGACGGAAAGACCCCGUGAACCUUUACUGUAGCUUUGCACUGGACUUUGAGCCUGCUUGUGUAGGAUAGGUGGGAGGCUUUGGAGCGUGGACGCCAGUUCGCGUGGAGCCAUCCUUGAAAUACCACCCUGGCAUGCUUGAGGUUCUAACUCUGGUCCGUAAUCCGGAUCGAGGACAGUGUAUGGUGGGCAGUUUGACUGGGGCGGUCUCCUCCUAAAGAGUAACGGAGGAGUACGAAGGUGCGCUCAGACCGGUCGGAAAUCGGUCGCAGAGUAUAAAGGCAAAAGCGCGCUUGACUGCGAGACAGACACGUCGAGCAGGUACGAAAGUAGGUCUUAGUGAUCCGGUGGUUCUGUAUGGAAGGGCCAUCGCUCAACGGAUAAAAGGUACUCCGGGGAUAACAGGCUGAUACCGCCCAAGAGUUCAUAUCGACGGCGGUGUUUGGCACCUCGACGUCGGCUCAUCACAUCCUGGGGCUGAAGCCGGUCCCAAGGGUAUGGCUGUUCGCCAUUUAAAGUGGUACGCGAGCUGGGUUUAGAACGUCGUGAGACAGUUCGGUCCCUAUCUGCCGUGGACGUUUGAGAUUUGAGAGGGGCUGCUCCUAGUACGAGAGGACCGGAGUGGACGAACCUCUGGUGUUCCGGUUGUCACGCCAGUGGCAUUGCCGGGUAGCUAUGUUCGGAAAAGAUAACCGCUGAAAGCAUCUAAGCGGGAAACUUGCCUCAAGAUGAGAUCUCACUGGGAACUUGAUUCCCCUGAAGGGCCGUCGAAGACUACGACGUUGAUAGGCUGGGUGUGCAAGCGUUGUGAGGCGUUGAGCUAACCAGUACUAAUUGCCCGUGAGGCUUGACC
RNAcentral lists this ribosomal RNA (1604 nucleotides) under metagenome. Its description in RNAcentral is "bacterial LSU rRNA". It matches the Rfam family "Bacterial large subunit ribosomal RNA", at positions 1339 to 2925 of the family's 2925-position model. The record is from RNAcentral.